AAGCUAGCAAACGAAUGGCUGCC
RNAcentral lists this non-coding RNA (23 nucleotides) under Arabidopsis thaliana (thale cress). Lineage: Eukaryota; Viridiplantae; Streptophyta; Magnoliopsida; Brassicales; Brassicaceae. The record is from RNAcentral.